RNAcentral lists this ribosomal RNA (481 nucleotides) under uncultured bacterium. RNAcentral's name for it is "bacterial SSU rRNA". It matches the Rfam family "Bacterial small subunit ribosomal RNA", at positions 383 to 855 of the family's 1533-position model. The record is from RNAcentral.
CUGAUCCAGCCAUGCCGCGUGAGUGAAGAAGGCCUUCGGGUUGUAAAGCUCUUUCGCAAGGAAAGAAAACUUAUCUACUAAUACUAGGUGAGGUUGACGGUACCUUGAUAAGAAGCACCGGCUAACUACGUGCCAGCAGCCGCGGUAAUACGUAGGGUGCGAGCGUUAAUCGGAAUUACUGGGCGUAAAGCGUGCGCAGGCGGUUUUGUAAGUCAGAUGUGAAAUCCCCGGGCUCAACCUGGGAACUGCGUUUGAAACUACAAGGCUAGAGUGUAGAAGAGGGGGGUAGAAUUCCACGUGUAGCAGUGAAAUGCGUAGAGAUGUGGAGGAAUACCGAUGGCGAAGGCAGCCCCCUGGGCUAACACUGACGCUCAUGCACGAAAGCGUGGGGAGCAAACAGGAUUAGAUACCCUGGUAGUCCACGCCCUAAACGAUGUCUACUAGUUGUUGGAGGAGUAAAAUCCUUUAGUAACGCAGCUAA